GGGCCCGUAGCUCAGCCUGGUUUAGAGCACUGGUCUUAUAAGCCAGUGGUCAUGGGUUCAAAUCCCAUCGGGCCCA
RNAcentral lists this transfer RNA (76 nucleotides) under Candidatus Pacearchaeota archaeon. RNAcentral's name for it is "tRNA-Ile". It matches the Rfam family "tRNA". From Rfam's summary of the family: Transfer RNA (tRNA) molecules are approximately 80 nucleotides in length. The record is from RNAcentral. Lineage: Archaea; Nanobdellati.